CCUACGGGUGGCUGCAGUCGAGAAUCAUUCACAAUGGGGGAAACCCUGAUGGUGCGACGCCGCGUGGGGGAAUGAAGGUCUUCGGAUUGUAAACCCCUGUCAUGUGGGAGCAAAUUAAAAAGAUAGUACCACAAGAGGAAGAGACGGCUAACUCUGUGCCAGCAGCUGCGGUAAUACAGAGGUCGUAAGCGUUGUUCGGAAUCAGUGGGCGUAAAGGGUGCGUAGGCUGUUUCGUAAGUCGUGUGUGAAAGGCGCGGGCUCAACCCGCGGACGGCACAUGAUACUGCGAGACUAGAGAAAUGGAGGGGGAACCGGAAUUCUCGGUGUAGCAUUGAAAUGCGUAGAUAUCGAGAGGAACACUCGUGGCGAAGGCGGGUUCCUGGACAUUAACUGACGCUGAGGCACGAAGGCCAGGGGAGCGAAAGGGAUUAGAUACCCGUGUAGUC
Molecule: ribosomal RNA, 446 nt
Filed under: uncultured bacterium
Lineage: Bacteria
Description: partial 16S ribosomal RNA
Rfam family: Bacterial small subunit ribosomal RNA
Source: RNAcentral